Molecule: ribosomal RNA, 422 nt
Filed under: uncultured bacterium
Lineage: Bacteria
Description: bacterial SSU rRNA
Rfam family: Bacterial small subunit ribosomal RNA
Source: RNAcentral
UAAGGAAUAUUGGACAAUGGUCGCAAGACUGAUCCAGCCAUGCCGCGUGUAGGAAGACGGCCCUAUGGGUUGUAAACUGCUUUUGUACCAGAGAAAACCUAUCUACGUGUAGAUAGCUGACAGUAUGGUAAGAAUAAGCAUCGGCUAACUUCGUGCCAGCAGCCGCGGUAAGACGAAGGAUGCAAGCGUUAUCCGGAUUCAUUGGGUUUAAAGGGUGCGUAGGCGGGCUCGUAAGUCAGUGGUGAAAUCUCUCAGCUUAACUGAGAAACUGCCAUUGAUACUGCAGGCCUAGAGUAUAGAUGACGUUGGCGGAAUAUGACAUGUAGUGGUGAAAUACUUAGAUAUGUCAUAGAACACCGAUUGCGAAGGCAGCUAACGAAACUAUAACUGACGCUGAGGCACGAAAGUGCGGGGAUCAAACA